This 317-nucleotide long non-coding RNA is filed under the name Pelobates cultripes (western spadefoot toad). Lineage: Eukaryota; Metazoa; Chordata; Amphibia; Anura; Pelobatidae. The record is from RNAcentral.
UUGGAAUAUGUAGAGAUGUUUAUUUGUGCAGGUACCCAUACAGAAGGGGUUCUGUACCAAACAAAUGGACGAGCACUCUCAGGCUCCAGGUACCAGCACCUCUGAACUACCAGAAACGAUUGAUAUGAGUAGUUGCAUUGCAUAUAGACUGUUGCAUAUAUGUUCAAAUGGUUCAGGGCACAUGACAAACCAUGUGGCCCAAUACAACUUACAAAUAACGUACUCACCAUCUGUACACACCAAUGCAUUUUCAACACUACUGACUCAUCACCCUUCCAGACUUGUAGUAGAUUUACUAAAGCUCUGGAGCUUCAAAG